CAGGGAGCUUGCUGCUGACCAAAAGCCACCUGAGUGAACUGGCACCAGUGCAGCUCAACAGUGGGAACACUAGUGGAGACAGGCUGCCAACAUUUUAACGACAGUGUCAACAGCAUCCAGUGGGAUCCAUGUCCAGAACUGGCGUACGUAGUGGCUGGAAGUUUCCUGAUAACUGGCGGAGAUGGGAAAGCUGUAAUGUACCCAACCUGGACAAUGAUCCCUCCAUAGCCAUUUGGUUCUGGUUAUAAACUGUUCAUGGUAGAGUGGAGCUUCUGAUGUCCCUCAUGCAUCUAUUUAGUGAAGUACAUCUCAGGGGCAGACCAAAUGAGGCUGUUUGUCUUUCUGUUUACUGUAUUUGCAAGCAAUGCUUUCUCUUUAUCUUAACAGAAGAUAAGUUUAAAUGUUUGUCCCAGUCUUUAGUCACCAUAGCAAAGGAAGAGAAAACAUAUGUACAGGAAACACAGAAAGCAAUAGUAGAGAUAAAAAGAGUAAAUUAACAUUACCCUCAUUGUAGGAAACUUGUUAGAGGACAGAGAAACUUGUGUUCCAACUAACCUGGAUCUUCCGUGAUUACUCAGUUCUCAGUUUCUCUAACCUGCACCUCACUGGAGCCCUAUGGAAAAAUAGGGACACACAACUUGAUAGUUUCUCGUUAACUUCAUGUCUGAACUGAAGGCAAAACCCAAACUAUUCUGGCUAACCUCUAGCCAAUGAUCCAUUUCAUCAACUCAGUCUCGCAUUCUAGAACCUCCUCAUUCACACAGGCAAGACUCCUGGGACUUAUCUCAGCAUCUCCUGCCAUCAACUCCAGAAUGUCUUGGGGACCAGCGUUCACACAGAAAGGGCCAGUUAAAAAGCCACGCUUUAGAUGACAGUCCAACAUCUCUUUGGGAUCCAAUGUGUGAAGAGAAGACUGUCAGGUCUGUCAAACUAUUCUGGCCUUCACUUGUUAAAGAGGAUUUAACGAGGAGGAUUUUACUGAUCUAUUGUGAAGGUUGCUGGAGGCUGGAUGCCUUACUUUAAAAGGUAAAGGCAGCAACAUUCCAUCAGGAA
Molecule: long non-coding RNA, 1053 nt
Organism: Chelonoidis abingdonii (Abingdon island giant tortoise)
Lineage: Eukaryota; Metazoa; Chordata; Testudines; Testudinidae
Source: RefSeq, a predicted model, not a curated record